GACGAACGCUGGCGGCGUGCUUAACACAUGCAAGUCGAACGGAAAGGCCCUGCUUUUGUGGGGUGCUCGAGUGGCGAACGGGUGAGUAACACGUGAGUAACCUGCCCUUGACUUUGGGAUAACUUCAGGAAACUGGGGCUAAUACCGGAUCGGAGCUCCUGCUGCAUGGUGGGGGUUGGAAAGUUUCGGCGGUUGGGGAUGGACUCGCGGCUUAUCAGCUUGUUGGUGGGGUAGUGGCUUACCAAGGCUUUGACGGGUAGCCGGCCUGAGAGGGUGACCGGGCACAAGGGGACUGAGAGACGGCCCAGACUCCUACGGGAGGCAGCAGUGGGGAAUAUGGCACAAUGGGCGGAAGCCUGAUGCAGAAACGCCGCGUGCGGGAUGACGGCCUUCGGGUUGUAAACCGCUUUCGCCUGAGACGAAGCGGGAGUGACGGUAAUGGGUAAAGAAGCACCGGCUAACUACGUG
RNAcentral lists this ribosomal RNA (468 nucleotides) under uncultured bacterium. Its description in RNAcentral is "partial 16S ribosomal RNA". It matches the Rfam family "Bacterial small subunit ribosomal RNA", at positions 28 to 507 of the family's 1533-position model. The record is from RNAcentral.